This 1241-nucleotide long non-coding RNA is filed under the name Mytilus galloprovincialis (Mediterranean mussel). Lineage: Eukaryota; Metazoa; Mollusca; Bivalvia; Mytilida; Mytilidae. The record is from RNAcentral.
UUAUUUUUUGUCGGCCAUUUACAAACUGUAAGUAUUGAUUUUAUACAUCCAGACUUUUCAUUUAUUGAUGGAACGAAUAAGAAUUCUUUAAUAAUUGAUCUCAAAGGAAUCUUAUAUAGAAGACGUAGACCUUAGUUAGUCUCUUUAUUCGGUAUUAUUGCGCCAAGAUAUACAUAUUGAACCAAAACCAAAGGGCUGAAUCCCCCUAAAAUUAAUCCAAAAGAGAGGACCCUUAGGCUAUGCGGUAUGUGUAUAUACGCAGCAACAUCCGGUAAGACUGAGGUAAUCUGGUGAUUUUUGCUAAGAGAGUGCACUCUGAGCGUUCAAAUAAUCAUUGAAACAACUGUGUUAGAGGUCCUUAUGUUACUUUUUGCAAUUUGCAAAAUGUCUGGUCCCAUCAAACAUAGUUAUUUUUUCCCCACUGACACGUGCACAUUCCAAUAAACUCAUCAUACAUACCAUGAUUGAAAUUUUGUAUUUGCGCCAGACGCGCGUUUUGUCUACAAAAGACUCAUCAGUGACGUUCGAAUCAAAAAUAGUUAAAAAGGCCAAAUAAAGUAAUAAAUUGAAGCGUAUUGAGGAACAACAACUAUUCAUAAAAGUUUUGCCAAACACAGCUUAGAUUAUAUAUUCCUGAGGUAGGAAAGCCUUAGUAUUUAAAAAAUGUAAAGCUGGUUUUGUGAAAAAGUUCCGCCGUUCACCCUGGUUAACUUACUUUCCAAACUUCCGAAUGUAUUUAUUGGUAUUUUUUCUCGUUACAAAUAUGCAUGAAAUAUUUGCCACUGGAUGUUAUUGAAAUGAAUAUUCAUUGAUCAAUCUUUAAACUGACAUUUGCAAGUUAUGAAUAAAAAAUGUGUAUAUGCGUAUGAUUACGAUCCAAAACGUGAAACUUCUAAUGCAAUGCAAUGCAUGGUACAGGUCUGAUUUGUAUGUAUUUUCUUCAUCAAUCUUCAAAAUAAAUUCAAGGAACAAAUUUAAAAGAAAAUAUAUUGCUUCUUAAAAGAAGCAAAUAUAUUUGACUUUAAUAAAGCAACGAGAUAUAUGUUUUUUUUUUUUUUUUUCAGACUUUACGAUGAAAAAGAAAAAUGCGGAAAAUUUCUUCGAAUGUUUUGGUUUAUUUCUCUAUCUUCCACGUGUCCGUAUUGUUGCUGAUAUUUGCAUUUAAUCUUAGUAUCAACCGAAAUAAAGAGUUAUCCUUUAGAAAAGAAUAUAAGGAGCAAAGAAGCCAAACAUUGAUUGAA